AACACAUGCAAGUCGAGGGGCAGCGGAGUUGGAAGCUUGCUUUCAACAGACGGCGACCGGCGCACGGGUGAGUAACACGUAUGCAACCUACCCAUGACAGGGGAAUAAGCCGGAGAAAUCCGGUCUAAUACCGCGUACACUCUUUGAGUGGCAUCACUUGAGGAGGAAAGGAAGCAAUUCCGGUCAUGGAUGGGCAUGCGGCGCAUUAGGUAGUUGGCGGGGUAACGGCCCACCAAGCCGACGAUGCGUAGGGGUUCUGAGAGGAAGGUCCCCCACACUGGUACUGAGACACGGACCAGACUCCUACGGGAGGCAGCAGUGAGGAAUAUUGGUCAAUGGGCGCAAGCCUGAACCAGCCAAGUCGCGUGAGGGAAGACGGUCCUAUGGAUUGUAAACCUCUUUUGUCAGGGAGCAACAAGCCACGAGUGGUGUAAUGAGAGUACCUGAAGAAAAAGCAUCGGCUAACUCCGUGCCAGCAGCCGCGGUAAUACGGAGGAUGCGAGCGUUAUCCGGAUUUAUUGGGUUUAAAGGGUGCGUAGGCGGAAGAUUAAGUCAGUGGUAAAAUUGCGAAGCUCAACUUCGUACCGCCAUUGAAACUGGUUUUCUUGAGUGAGCGAGAAGUAUGCGGAAUGCGUGGUGUAGCGGUGAAAUGCAUAGAU
Molecule: ribosomal RNA, 659 nt
Filed under: uncultured Bacteroidota bacterium
Lineage: Bacteria; Pseudomonadati; Bacteroidota
Description: bacterial SSU rRNA
Rfam family: Bacterial small subunit ribosomal RNA
Source: RNAcentral